CACGUAGGGUGCGAGCGUUGUCCGGAAUUAUUGGGCGUAAAGAGCUCGUAGGCGGUGUGUCGCGUCGGCCGUGAAAACUUGCAGCUUAACUGUGGGCGUGCGGUCGAUACGGGCAUCACUGGAGUUCGGCAGGGGAGACUGGAAUUCCUGGUGUAGCGGUGAAAUGCGCAGAUAUUGGGAGGAACACCAGUGGCGAAGGCGGCUACCUGGACCGGAACUGACGCUGAUGCGCGAAAGCGUGGGUAGCAAACAGG
Molecule: ribosomal RNA, 254 nt
Filed under: uncultured bacterium
Lineage: Bacteria
Description: partial 16S ribosomal RNA
Rfam family: Bacterial small subunit ribosomal RNA
Source: RNAcentral